AGAGUUUGAUCAUGGCUCAGAACGAACGCUGGCGGCAGGCUUAACACAUGCNGUCGAACGCUCGUGAGCGAUCACGGGAGUGGCGGACGGGUGAGUAACGCGUGGGACAUACCCUUCGGUUCGGAAUAACUCAGGGAAACUUGAGCUAAUACCGGAUACGUCCCGGGGCGCGAGUCCUGGGGGAAAGAUUGAUCGCCGGAGGAUUGGCCCGCGUUCGAUUAGCUAGUUGGCGAGGUAACGGCUCACCAAGGCGACGAUCGAUAGCUGGUCUGAGAGGAUGAUCAGCCGCAUUGGGACUGAGACACGGCCCAAACUCCUACGGGAGGCAGCAGUGGGGAAUAUUGGACAAUGGGCGCAAGCCUGAUCCAGCCAUGCCGCGUGAGUGAUGACGGCCUUAGGGUUGUAAAGCUCUUUCGCUCGGGACGAUAAUGACGGUACCGAGAGAAGAAGCCCCGGCUAACUUCGUGCCAGCAGCCGCGGUAAUACGAAGGGGGCUAGCGUUGUUCGGAAUUACUGGGCGUAAAGCGCGUGUAGGCGGGUCUUUAAGUCAGGGGUGAAAUGCCAAGGCUCAACCUUGGAACUGCCUUUGAUACUGGGGACCUUGAGUCCGGGAGAGGUGAGUGGAAUUGCGAGUGUAGAGGUGAAAUUCGUAGAUAUUCGCAAGAACCCAGUGGCGAAGGCGGCUCACUGGCCCGGAACUGACGCUGAGACGCGAAAGCGUGGGGAGCAAACAGGAUUAGAUACCCCAGUAGUCC
RNAcentral lists this ribosomal RNA (755 nucleotides) under uncultured bacterium. RNAcentral describes it as "bacterial SSU rRNA". It matches the Rfam family "Bacterial small subunit ribosomal RNA", at positions 8 to 796 of the family's 1533-position model. The record is from RNAcentral.